Molecule: long non-coding RNA, 4664 nt
Organism: Dermochelys coriacea (leatherback sea turtle)
Lineage: Eukaryota; Metazoa; Chordata; Testudines; Dermochelyidae
Exons: 2
Source: RefSeq, a predicted model, not a curated record
AGGUUUCUUUAGAGUUUAAUUUUCAAUAUCUUAGAAAAUGGUGAGCAAGCCAUUCACCAAGUAAAAUGACAUAAAAAGAACCAGAUAUUCUGAAGCAAGCAUGACAGAAGUAGAGAGAGAGAUUCUGGGGUCUAAUUCACGAGCAGGCACAAUGCCCACUGGCUUAAGAGGAAGAUACAUAUUCAUUGAACAUAAAAUACUAAAACAAUUUUAGGCAGGCUGCAACACAGACUACACACAGACUUUCUGGAUUCUAUAAAAAAAAUUUAGUUUGAGGUCUGUUGUUGGACACAGCUGAGAUGCCAGAAACACAUUUAUGAAAUCUGUUCCUUAAUGCUCAACACUGUACCUUUGUUCGGUGGAUAUUUUGGCUUUUUUCCUCCACCAACUAAUGCUAAAUAGUUGCACCGAAAUAACAUUUCAACAUGGCCAACGCCUCCUUCUAGAAAUUCUGUAAAACAAAAAAUGAAAUUUGUAAAUAUACUCAGCACUUAAUUUCACAGCACAAUGGGUCUUAGAUAGCAUUGGAACAUUUUCUUCUUUACAGAAAGUGUGACAUUUUAGGAUUUACUAUAGAAGUGCAAAAUACCACUGAGGUCAAGCCCAUGUUAAAGAGGCCUUUUACUGCAUUGCCACAAGAAAAUGCUUCAGUAUAUGACUAAGGCUACUCUCAGUUAUCUACACUAUGGAAAGAUACUUUGUGGAGAUCUCCUCCUGUCCCCAUCUAGAUACUAAGAGAAUCAAAAGAAGAGUGAUUACUCUUAGCUACAACUAACAGCUUUUUCAGCAGAGACUACAAGUUACAUUUAAAAAAGCUACACAACACAGGAUACUUACAUAUUCAAAGUUGUUUAUGAUUGCAAAAAAAAAGUAAAAUCCCUCCCCACCCCCCCCCCCGAACAAAUACUGAAGUAUACUUUUUAAAAUGGAAAACAAGAAGUUACUCAUUUAAGGUAUGUAUAUAUCAAUGAUCCCAUUAAAAUUAAUUUAUCUUUUAUGGUAUGUUAACAUUUCUUGCAGGCAACAAGAAGGAAGAGGGUUUUUAGGAAGGAUUUUGAGAGAGAAAAAGUGGCUUAGUGAAUACAGAUUAGUAGGCAUGCCAUGUUUAUAGGCACUAUUGAAAAAAAGCAGAGGAGAUGAAGAGGUAUCUAAGCUAGCAUCAGAUGUGAUGGAAAAGUUGCAAGAGAAAAGGGCAGAGGCACUUGCCACUAUUUUAUGCCAUUUAGUUUUUUUGAUUUUCCUCUCCAUUUACGCAAUUAAAUUAAACAAAAGUAAAACUGUAUUCUAGACUGUUUCACUUUUUGGUUCUCAAAUUCUACCAUCCUUCCAUACAGUCUUCAGGGGCAAAAUUGAGCUGUUCUUAAAUCUCACUCUGCACAGUGAGCUCUACGAUCACCCAUAUCUGGUGGAAGGAAGUUCCAUAGCUGUAGGGCAGCCACUCAAAAUUCAGUCCCCUCCCACCCCGAUAAUCAUUUUCAAAACUAUUAAUUUUAUUGGCUCCAGUCUCUGCAAUUAAGUACAAAGCCCUGAUUAGUAUUAACAGUGCUAUAAGCACCUCAAUUCGAGUAAACUGCAAAAACAUAACUUGGCAUAUGGUAGGGUAUGUACUUCUUUUAGAGUGUGUAAGUUCUCUUGGGCAGGGCACAGUAGAUCAGGAUCUUGACCUGGAUCUGGUAUUGGACAGGUAGCCAGUACAGCAUGCAGAAAAAUGGGGUUGAGGGGGAAUGUGCUCAAUCUGUUUUGCUCUGAAGAUGAACCAAAGACAUGCACGUCCAUCUGGAGCUUCUUCAUGGCGUUCACUUCCAUCCCCAAGUAGCAGUGAACCAUCUGGACUAGGAAAUGAAUGCAUGCUUUGGUCCAAUGGGAAGGAACUUUUAGCUAAAAGCACCAUUUGGGUAUCCAAGAAUAGAAGUCCAGAAGGACACUUUAGUCCAGCAUUACACUGACUGGACAAGUGCCCCAACAUUAUGGUUUUAGAGAGUUACCCCCCAGUACAGAUAUCUGAUUACUAGCAUCACUUCUGUCUUGCACAGAUUAAGCUUCAGUCAGCUGCUUUUUAACCAAGUCUCUCUCUGACUCAGAUACCAGGAAACCAGAGUGAUGGUGUUGUCUAUGUUUAAUGUAAAGUUAUGACAGCCACUAUGCUUGAGGGCAGUGUGAAAAUAGUGUUUGAUUAUAUGCAAUUCAAAUUUACAGAUAAAUGUGGAGCAACAUGUGCCACCAACAAGGCCUUCAUGACAGGAGGUUUAGGAAAGAGAGCCCUCUCCUUUGGAAGCGAGUCUCAGACAAAAGAUGAAUGAGAAGCAGACACCCAGGUUUCCAAGGAAGAGAGGAAAUGGAGUUUAAGUAGUUAGAAAGUCAUGAAUGACAGUGAGCUUUCUGAAGGCAGAGCUGGAAUUCCAGAAGGAGCAGAAAGAGGAGUGGAAUCAGAAAGGCUAGGGACACGACAGAUUAAAGAACACAGAACCUGAGGGAUGAGGAGUAUACUCAGCAGGGAUGAGAUUAAGAUAGAGGUCACUAGCAGUUAGGAGGAGCUACAUCCCUCUUAGGACAACUAAAGGAUGUAUGGACUGGAAUCAGAUCUCCUCACACUAAGUUAGAAGAGAAUGCUUAAGAAAGAUGACUGGAAAAGCAGUGAGGCUGUUACGAAACCCCAGAGGCCUCACUGGUAGACAAAGGGAAAGAAAGGGUUAUGUCUGAGGUACAGAAAACACUGCCAUUCCUCUCAGAACAGAUGCAGUCAGGAUCCCUCCACUGGUUAGAAGAAUGGUUUUCGCUAAGUUUCUGUCGAGUUUUAUUCUUGAGCAAAAACUGUAUAUAGGCUUUAACAGAACCACCAAAGCAGUUUACACAUGACAGUAUUAGGCAGAAAAAGCCCAAUACAGAUUACAGCCUAAUCCUCUAUCCACUUGAUGUGGCGCUCUCUCUUAUAAAAACACACCGCAACUUGUAGUUUAGGCUGUGACUUGAGAGCUACCCCAGUUCUUUCACACUUACAAUGUGUUGCUUACCCCCUCUUGUGACCAGUCCACAGAGGUUUCAGUCUGAUACUAGCUUCAAGAUCACACACCCGAGUCUGUUAGCUCAGGCAGUAGAGGAUUACCAGAAGUUAAACUGCGGAUCUAGAAGUCACAUGAUUGAGACUCCCUGUGGAGCCAUCCUUGGCUGGAAGGAAAGUCACUGGACAAGGGCUCAAUGCAGGAAGAAAGUAACCCAGGCAAGAGCCCUGUGGAGAAGACAAGUAGGUUGUACUUUCAAAACAGAGCUAGCAUAGAAAAAUGAUAGGUUUCAGAAUAGCAGCUGUGUUAGUCUGCAUUCGCAAAAAGAAAAGGAGUAUUUGUGGCACCUUAGAGACUAACAUUUAUUUGAGCAUAAGCUUGUGAGCUACAGUUGCAUCCAAUGAAGUGAGCUGAAAAAUGAGAAAGCAUCUCACACCUUGUUUCUCUUUUUCUUUGAGAGGAUCUGCAUUAUAAACUCUGAAUCCAUUUUCCAUUCCACAUGCAAAGCAUCCUAAAACACAAAAUGGAAAAAUAUGCAUUAAUUAUGUAAUACAGGCAAAACAGAGUAAGUCGGAGGGCGGGGGUCACUAUUCAAGAGCUUUUAUGUCAAUGAAAUUUAUUUCAAGAAGAAGGUUGCAGCUUUAGUAGUUUAAAAUAGAAAGAGUGGAAACAGUGCAAAGUUGGUUUUUCCACAUUGUUUCAGUGUUCUGUUUAAACAGGUGUUGAACAAACAAUGGAAGGAAAGGAGAUACUGUAUCACAUAGGAGGCAGUUUGAUUAUGAGUCAAUACCAGGGAGAAGAAAAUCAGUUUUGGUGUAUUCUUACUGAAACUUACACUCCCCAGUAAUAGCUAGCACAGAAAAACCCUAUAUUCAUGUACUAAAAAAGGAGUCCUAUUUCAAAUAUUCAGAUAACAUAGUAAAGUUUAAUUAGUAAUCUAACAUGUUCGUGGUUCCUGAAAUAGGUGAGAAUAGUUCUUUAUCUAUCAUGCUCUGAUAGCGGCAUGCAGGAUAGCAUAGUGCAACUUGGAAGUCCAUCAGGUCCACUUAACUGUGGGGAACUAGAGCAACUCAACUUAUAAACUAAAGAGUUUAUAAUAUACAGAGAUUUUACAGCUCUGACCAUUUUUUUUUAAGCUGAAGUCCAGAACUGCGUUAUGCAGAUCUCUUGGGGGGGGGGGGGGGAAGAGUGCCUUUUUAAUGGAUUCCUUCAUACUCCCAGGCAGCCACAACACCUGAGAAACAAAAGAAAGCCUAGGACUGAGGGAGGGAUCCUGUCUGAAAGAAAUUCAGCCAGUAAGACUGCUGAAUUAUGUGGCGAGAGAGACUGUUUUAAUACACUUAGCUUGUUGCAUUUUACCUUACAUUUCCUUUUAACCAAUUAUGACUUUUAAGCCUCAUUACUUGUAAUCACUUAAAAUCUUUCUGUAGUUAAUAAAAUUUGUUUUAUCUAAGCCAGUGUGCUUGGAUUGAAGUGUUUGGGAAACUCCAUUUGAGAUAUGCACAAAUCCUGUAUUUUCUAUUAAUAAAUUGACAGAUUUAUAUGAGCUUGUAGUAUCCAGCCCUGUCCUGGGCAACACAAGACAUGCAUUUCUGAGGGAAAGUCUGGGACCGGGAAUUUGCUGGUGUUGCUCUGCAGCAUAAUUCAAAAGUAUCUGGCUACAGC